AUAUCAAUAAGCGGAGGAAAAGAAAAUAACAAUGAUUCCCUUAGUAACGGCGAGCGAAGGGGGAAUAGCUCAAAUUUUAAAUCUGUUAGGUUUUAUCUAACCGAGUUGUAAUUUGAAGAAGCGUUUUCCGCGUUUUCGAUUAGCCCAAAUCCUUUGGGAUGAGGUAUCAUGGAGGGUGAGAAUCCCGUCCGGUUAAAUCGAGAUGCUUUACGAUACGCUUUCUAAGAGUCGAGUUGUUUGGGAUUGCAGCUCAAAAUGGGAGGUAAAUUUCUCCUAAGGCUAAAUAUAGGCGAGAGACCGAUAGCGAACAAGUACCGUGAGGGAAAGAUGAAAAGAACUUUGAAAAGAGAGUUAAACAGUAU
Molecule: ribosomal RNA, 362 nt
Filed under: uncultured fungus
Lineage: Eukaryota; Fungi
Description: eukaryotic LSU rRNA
Rfam family: Eukaryotic large subunit ribosomal RNA
Source: RNAcentral